This 839-nucleotide long non-coding RNA is filed under the name Canis lupus familiaris (dog). RNAcentral describes it as "lncRNA (ENSCAFG00845006282.1)". The record is from RNAcentral. Lineage: Eukaryota; Metazoa; Chordata; Mammalia; Carnivora; Canidae.
GUCCUUUGGAGGAACAGACCAUAGCUUUGUAAGUUUUAAUCUCCUGUGCCCAGCUCAGUGCAUGGCAGAAGGCAAUUGCCUGGUCUGUGGUGGAGGUGCUGGUUAUUUUUGGUGUAGAUGUUACCUUUAUCAUGGUAGGGAUGGGAGGCUCAGCCUGACCAAAACACCGGGCAGGGUACAGGAUGGCUGGGAAGCUGCUGAUAAGGCUCUGCCAGCAUUACAGCCCCAGCCCUGGUGAUCACCGUGAUCCCUGAUCGCCGUCGCACUGGCUGGUUCUGGGGGUCUGGGCGCUGGUCAUGCCGGUCGCGCCGGGUCUGGCCACCGGGUGGCACCCACGCUCCACAAAUGCUGCCACCGCGCUGGGCUCGGUCUCCGCUAGGCUCUGCUUGGGAACCAGGGGAGGCAGGGGCUGCAGGAGGUCCAGCGCUGCCCUAGUCCCAGCCCCUGGCUCUCUGAGCCAUGAGUUGACAUUCGUCCCCACUAGGCCUUCUUCCUCAAGCCUUUGUGUUUAUUCUGUUCCCUGCAGACCGAGUGAUGCCCCUUCUCCCAGGCGGCCUGUCUGCCCAUCAGGAGGCCCAGCGCGGCCAGACAGUGAGCCACGAGCACCCUCAGCCCUGGAGCCCGCCCAGUGGUGUUUACAGGAGGCCGGGUCUGGGAACACCUGUUGUCCAGGCAGCCUCCUGCUGUCCUGCCUCCCUACACCCAGCUCACCAUCAGAAAUGCCAUGUUUCUGCCUGUCCUCGUUAUGGCCAGCACUAACUGGCUUUUGCCCCCCGAGUAACACAUCAACUACAAGAAACAGAAUGUGUUGCAGCUCAGCUCAGCGGUUGAGCUGUUGA